AGCGAACGCUGGCGGCAGGCCUAACACAUGCAAGUCGAACGAACUCUUCGGAGUUAGUGGCGGACGGGUGAGUAACACGUGGGAACGUGCCUUUUGGUUCGGAAUAACUCAGGGAAACUUGUGCUAAUACCGAAUGUGCCCUUCGGGGGAAAGAUUUAUCGCCAUUAGAGCGGCCCGCGUCUGAUUAGCUAGUUGGUGAGGUAACGGCUCACCAAGGCGACGAUCAGUAGCAGGUCUGAGAGGAUGACCAGCCACACUGGGACUGAGACACGGCCCAGACUCCUACGGGAAGCAGCAGUGGGGAAUCUUGCGCAAUGGGCGAAAGCCUGACGCAGCCAUGCCGCGUGAAUGAUGAAGGUCUUAGGAUUGUAAAAUUCUUUCACCGGGGACGAUAAUGACGGUACCCGGAGAAGAAGCCCCGGCUAACUUCGUG
This 433-nucleotide ribosomal RNA is filed under the name uncultured bacterium. RNAcentral describes it as "partial 16S ribosomal RNA". It matches the Rfam family "Bacterial small subunit ribosomal RNA", at positions 29 to 507 of the family's 1533-position model. The record is from RNAcentral.